RNAcentral lists this transfer RNA (74 nucleotides) under bacterium ADurb.Bin270. Its description in RNAcentral is "tRNA-Lys". It matches the Rfam family "tRNA". From Rfam's summary of the family: Transfer RNA (tRNA) molecules are approximately 80 nucleotides in length. Their secondary structure includes four short double-helical elements and three loops (D, anti-codon, and T loops). The record is from RNAcentral.
GGGUGAUUAGCUCAGUUGGUAGAGCAGCUGACUCUUAAUCAGCGGGUCGCAGGUUCGAAUCCUGCACCACCCAC